CCGUUCUCAACGGGGUGCUAAUAAACAUACACAAAAUCAUUCAAGCUGCAGCAAGGCGGCAAGCGAGUGAAUCCCAAGGAGCAUAGAACACUAUGUGACUGGGGUGAGCGGACGCAGCCAACACAGAGGCUGCUUGAAUGAUGAAGCGUAUGGGCUGAGAUAAUACCCGUCGAACCUGAUCCGGAUAACGCCGGCGAAGGGAUUUGAGGCUACAGCUCAA
This 220-nucleotide non-coding RNA is filed under the name Citrobacter amalonaticus. RNAcentral's name for it is "TPP". It matches the Rfam family "TPP riboswitch aptamer (THI element)". Rfam says of the family: Vitamin B(1) in its active form thiamin pyrophosphate (TPP) is an essential coenzyme that is synthesised by coupling of pyrimidine and thiazole moieties in bacteria. The previously detected thiamin-regulatory element, thi box was extended, resulting in a new, highly conserved RNA secondary structure, the THI element, which is widely distributed in eubacteria and also occurs in some archaea. Lineage: Bacteria; Pseudomonadati; Pseudomonadota; Gammaproteobacteria; Enterobacterales; Enterobacteriaceae. The record is from RNAcentral.